RNAcentral lists this long non-coding RNA (327 nucleotides) under Mytilus galloprovincialis (Mediterranean mussel). The record is from RNAcentral. Lineage: Eukaryota; Metazoa; Mollusca; Bivalvia; Mytilida; Mytilidae.
GUCCGUUUUUCAAAUCUAUGCCCCAUCGUGACGUCAUUGUCUAAUCUAUGUCCGUAAAAAUGAUUCAGCCUCAAAUCUGUGUCCGAUUUUCAAUCGCGACGUCAUUCGCAGAUCUGUGUCCGUUAUAAAAAAGAUAAGGUCUCAAAUCUGUGUUAUGUUUUAAUUUUUUUUCCAAUUUGUUUCGCCAUGCUCAAAUUUAAUUUGAAUUGUAAAUAUUCCACAAUAGUAGGAGUAAAGAUAUCCUGAUAAUUGUCAGAAAACAUUUCAAGAGGAUAAAUCUCUAGUUGACGUUUUUGAAAAUAUUCCAUCAGUCCACUAUUUAUAGAG